This is an RNA transcript of Eriocheir sinensis (Chinese mitten crab), 5439 nucleotides long. RefSeq lists it as uncharacterized. The transcript has 6 exons. Lineage: Eukaryota; Metazoa; Arthropoda; Malacostraca; Decapoda; Varunidae. The record is from RefSeq and is a predicted model, not a curated record.
UUUUGAAAAAACACAAAAAAAUUCAUAAUUUUUUUUUUCAGUCAUAUCCACACCAAAUAUGGAUAUGAUGAUUAGCAUAAUGCUAUGCAUGUACUGUGUGAAUUAGAAGAAACUCGCGCUAUUUCUUAAACAUAGGGGGAUCUCCCCCUUAAGCUUCAAGAGUGCCUGCCAACCUACCCUAGCCAGUAGGCUAGGGUAGGCUGUAUCCCCCCAUUGUCUCAAUACCUCGCUCUCGCAGCCAAUCAUAUCCCCGAACGUCAUCGCUCGUCUUUACCAUUGGAAGGGAAGCUAUUCGUAAACAAACUUUACAUGCCUCCUUCAGUCCUCCUGGCUUCGUACUGAAAUUUGUGCAACACGCAACAUAGAAUUAGACCUAGACUUUGAAGAUUCUGGCUACACAAAUAUUGUUAUUAGAAAUGAUCCCAGUUAUGUGCAUCUCAAGACAAGUGUAUGGAGUCCAGAUUAAGCAUGGAAAUGGAAAGAAAUCUUAGAGAAGAAAAAUAAUAUAUGCUUUACUGCCAAGAAAAUAUUAGAUUCACAGCUAUGCAUCUACCAUCAGAAAGUCAUUUGUCUGCAUGGAGAGAAAUGCCACAAAGGAAUUGUCUUGGCUACAAAGUUCAUGUCUAAGAUUCAUCAAGAGUUUCGGGAAUCUAGAGAAGUUGUGUUUGUUGAUACCACUUCUCAUGUUGACCAAAUAAACACAGCACUGACACCUCUUCUUUGUGCCAGCCCUGUAGGAGCUCUCCCUCUUGGUGUAAUAUUUACAUCAUCACAAGAGGAAACAAGUUACACCAAAGGUUUCCUCUUACUGAAGAAGGUGCUUGGUGAGAGGGCAUUCUACAGCCAAGGUCACCCAAAAGUCUUUAUCACGGACAGCAGUGACCCUAUGAGGAAGGCACUAAGAACAGUUUGGCCAGAAGCUGAACAAUUCCUUUGUGUUUUCCACAUUCUGCAACAAGUAUAGAGUGGCUACUUGAUGGGUCCCACAAGAUCAAGAAAGAGCAUCGCCCACUGCUGAUGAGCAUAGCCAAGCAGUUGGUGUAUGCAGACUCUGAAGCUCAGUUUUUUGAUCACUGGGAUGCCUUAUAUCAGACACCAGAGGGCAAGCGGUAUGAGAAAUAUACCAGAUACCUGACGACAAUGAUCGAGAGGAGGAAGGAAUGGAGCAUCAUGUACAGGGCUGGAAGUUUGCUGCGUGGCCACCAAACCAACAAUUUUGCAGAGGCCAACAUAGCAAUCAUCAAAGAUGUCAUCCUUAACAGAUGCAAGGCCUACAAUAUCACUCAGUUGCUAAUCUUCAUGAAUGAAAUAUAUGAUAAGUAUAUGCAGACAUGUCUCUGUGAUGUUGCACUGGGCUGAAGAAAACCAACAAAACCAGCCAAAAGUUCAAUUUCCCGGUAGUAGUAGUAAUGAGACUGGUGUACAGUAUGUUGUUGAUUUAAAAACUGGUAUAUGUGAGUGCAAAAUUGGUCAGACAGGUCAAGCAUGUAAACACCAAAUAGCAUGCUCAGAGGCUUACCUCCUGCAGUUGCCACAGAUAUUUAGCAAUACCCCUGAAAAUAGGCAGUGGCUUGCAGGUAUAGUUCUUGGCAAAGAAAAUGUGCCCCCUCUUGAUUUCUUUGCUGACUUUAAGGAAUGUCCUAAUAAGCAGGAAAACUCCAGUGGUCCAUCUUGUAAUCAUAAUGAAAAAACUGCUGUAACAACAUCCACAUCUCAUAAGACAGAAAAACAAGAACAUAGCAGGAGCAAUUCGCCUGCCAUACCUGAUGAGCACAGCAGUAACUAUGUCAGGGAAGGACUAGAGCUGAUGCAGUCCACAUCCACUGAAUCUGUGCCCCAAAAUGACAACAGUGUAGGUAAGACAGGAGCUGGCCGUGGUAAAAUACCUUGUCAGCCUACUUCGGUGGCAAGACGUAUUACUGGCAUGCCAAGAGGAGCUGCACCUUUUGGCAAAGGCCGAAAGCGGGAGGGGUAACCUUAUUGAUAAGGCUGCAAAACGACAAAGGAACUUAUCAAUAAAUGUUUCACAGAAUCAAGCUAAUGCUAAGAAUCAUGGUUCUGGCCAUUAAGCUGCUUAGCUGAAAUACUGUAUUAAUUUAAGAAACUACAUUUCUCAUGUUUGUAUUGUACUGAAUAGUUUAUCAGAGAGUAAGUUUUUGUCCAGUACUGUAUUUAGAUGUAUAUGUGGUGUAUCAAGCAUACAUCUCUGGAGAAUCAUUUCAUUAGUUUCCAGACAUGGUCAUGAUUAUGAUUACAUUCUUGCACCUCGUAAAACAAUUCCACAUCUUUCUGCUGGUACACUCUACACGGUGUCCUAAUUUUACAUACCUCUACAUCCCUCCUCUCAAAAAACAUUACCUUUCCCUACAUUCACUUUUAGUUUCCUUCUCCCACACACAUUAUAAAAUUCAUCUACCACUCUGAAGCUCCUCCUCACUCUCUGCAAGCAACAUAGUAUCAUCUGCAAAUAGACAUGCAACCACGACCCAACUCACUCCAUUCAACUUCUUGCUUCUACUUUUCCCACUUUGGCUUUCAUUUUCCUCAUACAACUAUCCAUGAAAAUAUUGAACAGCGAUGGCAACAUCACAUCCCUGUCCCACUCCCAAUCCUAUGGCAAAACUCUCGCUGAGUUCUCCAUCCACUCUUACCCAUGCAUUUGCAUCCCUACAGAAGGCCUUAACUCCUUCCAGUAACUGUCCUCUCACCCCAUAUAUAUUUAGAGCACUUCAUAGAGCCUCCCUUUCCAUCCUAUCAUAUGGUUUCUCUAGGUCCAUGAAGGCUGUGUACAAUUUUUUACCUUUUUACAAAUACUCCUCUAAAAUUAUUAUAAUUGCAGAUUGCUGAUCUACACAACCUUUUCCCUUCCUAAACCCUCCUUCCUCUUUACUAACCUUUCCUCCUGUUACUUCCAUCAAUCUCUGUCAAAACUCUCUCAUAUACUUCUGGCAAACUAAGAAAACAUAUUCCCUUAUAGUUAUUACUACUACCUUUGCCUUUCUCCACUCAUCUGGUACCUCUCUCUGUCUCCAUGCACAGUCACACAUCAACAACAUCCAUUCUAUCUCUUCAUCCAUGCUUUCACAUUUCUACUGUUAUUCCAUCUACCUACACCUGCGCUUUGCUACACUUUAGUCUAGCUAUUGCUUUUUUUACCUCUUCUUUACUAUUUCCUCUCUGCGCACACUUUUUCCCUGCUUCCAUUCCCAUGCUUGACACUAUUUUACAUUAAUCAGAAGACUCCAAAACAUUGCAUUUCUACUCUAGUUGAUAUUAAGUUGAAGGAAUUGACGGUCGAGCUUAUUUUUGAAGGAGUCAAUCGUGUUACACUGGACCACUGAUGGUGGGAGCUUAUUCCAUUCUCGCACUACAAUGUUGGUGAAGAAAAAUUUGGUGCAGUCUGAAUUUACUUGUCUACAUCUGAGUUUUACGCCAUUGUUCCUCGUGCGCAAAGUGUCAUCGAUCAUAAACAAUGUUGAUCUGUCUACAUUCGUGAAACCAUUAAGUAUUUUAAAACAUUCGAUCAGUUUUCCUCGGAGGCGACGUUUCUCAAGAGAGAACAUGUUAAGGGUAGAAAGCCUUUCUUCGUAGGAUUUGUUGCGCAAGGAAGGGAUAAUUUUUGUUGCCCAACGCUGAACACCUUCUAAUUUAGCAAUAUCCUUUGCAUGGUGGGGAGACCAAAACUGUACCGCAUAUUCCAAGUGGGGUCUGACUAAACUGUUGUAGAGCGGGAGUAUUACAUCUUUAUUCUUAAAUAAAAAGUUUCUUUUAAAUGGAGCCCAACAUUCUGUUCGCUUUAUUUGCUGCAUCGAUGCAUUGCUGUGAGAAUUUGAGGUUUGACGCGAUUUUGACCCCCAGGUCCUUGACGCAUUGAACGCUUUUGAGUUUAAUGCCGCGCAUUUCGUAAUCGAACUUCUUCUUCCUCGUUCCAACUUGAAGGACCUGGCACUUGCCUACGUUGAAGGGCAUCUCCCAUCUAUCCGACCAAGCUGAAAUUUUGUGCAAAUCCUCUUGGAGGCUUUGCCUGUCUUCGUCAGUGAGAACCGAGUUACCAAUCUUUGUGUCGUCUGCAAAUUUACUAAUGCGGUUAUUGAGUCCAACAUCCACGUCGUUGAUGUAAAUAAUGAAGAGCACUGGGCCAAGAACCGAGCCCUGAGGGACGCCACUAGUGACCGGCGCCCACUCUGAGUUAAAUCCGUCAAUCACUACUCUUUAUUGUCUGUUGCUCAACCAAUUCGCGAUCCAUUGGUUUACUUGACCGUCAAUACCUAUUUGCUUUAAUUUGUAAAGUAAUUUAUGAUGCGGGACUUUAUCAAACGCUUUCUGGAAAUCAAGAUAGACUACGUCCAGUGAUUUGGUUACGUUAUAAACAGUGAAGAGGUCGUUAUAAAAGGUUAAUAGAUUUGAUAGGCAGGAUCUUUUGUUUCGGAAGCCAUGUUGUGAGUCCCCAAUUAAUGAGUGGCUUUCAAGGUAACUCACAAUUUUGUCUCUAAUUAUGCCCUCAAGUAGCUUACCUACAACCGAAGUUAGACUAAUGGGCCUGUAAUUACCUGGUACUUUUUUGUCUCCUUUCUUAAAAAUCGGUGUCACGUUAGCCUUUUUCCAAUCUGAAGGGACGAUGCCUUGUCGCAACUUGCUUCCCCUUCCAUCUUGGCAUUCAUUAAGCAUUCAAAAUGUCUUCCAUACUCCUUUCACCUCCUCUUUACUACUCAUAAGAGCACUAUCCUCUUCACUCACACACUCAUUCACCCCAUUCCUCCUCUUUGUCUUUUAACCAUCUUUUCAAAACAACUUUUUAUUCUCAAAAAAAUUGUCAUUCAACUUCCUACCAAACUCCUCAUCUACUUUCCUUUUACUCUCAUUUACCAAAUCCUUAUCUUCUGUUGCCUCUUUUUUCUCAUGUGUCCUCCAUGCACUUCCCUUUCUUCCACCCUCCAACCGCUUCAGAUGUCGCAGUAGUCACUACACCUUUAAGCAGACUGAAUGCAGGAUCCAAACUUGUUUCUUCUCCAACUGCUGUCCUGGCUUCUCUCAGUCUCUCACAUACUUUACUCUCAUAUUCCUCUCUUGCCUCUUUUCUAUCUAUCUUUUCACUAGCUAACACUUUAUUCACCCUUACUCCUACUAUAUCCCCAUCAACCUUUCAUCCUGAUCUUUGCUAAAAUAGUAUCUGAUCCUUGGAACAUGAACAUUUACUACCUUUACAUAUAUUACAUCCUUUCAAAGUUUCUGAUCGCGAGUGCAGUGUAAUCAAUGCAGUGUAUACCUAUGGAUCAUUUUGUGGUGAAAGAAGGUGUUCACUAUAAACAAUUCUCUUCCAGCACUUAUGUCCACCAAUUGCUCACCAUUCUCAUUUACACCCUCCACACCCCACUUCCCUACCACACCCAGUGGCGUACCCAGAAAAUUGAAAAGGGGGGUGACCAAUAUAUAUAUAUA